This 278-nucleotide long non-coding RNA is filed under the name Prunus persica (peach). Its description in RNAcentral is "long non-coding RNA (PPER_LNC001219)". Lineage: Eukaryota; Viridiplantae; Streptophyta; Magnoliopsida; Rosales; Rosaceae. The record is from RNAcentral.
GCCAGAUGACCAGAUGAACCAGCCCAAGUCCUUUACUGCCGUGGUAGGUUCAAAAUUCCAACAAUCAUUUUUUUUCUCCUAAUAAUCCGCAUAAUUAUAGAAUAUUAUGGUAGUAUGAUUACGUGGUAUAUUUUGUACACGUGUUAUAAUAUGGGUUGACGACAUGAUUUAUUUUCCCCUCUUUUAAGGAAUAGUAUCAAUGAAUAUCCACUUAUAUUAUAACACGUGUACAAGAACAAGAUGCGUGCUGCUAUUUCCACUCACUUGUUAUAUUUUCC